CAGUAGCCGCGGUAAUACGAGGGGGGCAAGCGUUGUUCGGAAUUAUUGGGCGUAAAGGGUGCGUAGGCGGUUUGGCAAGUUUGGUGUGAAAUCUUCGGGCUCAACUCGAAGUCUGCAUCGAAAACUGCCGGGCUUGAGUAUGGGAGAGGUGAGUGGAAUUUCCGGUGUAGCGGUGAAAUGCGUAGAUAUCGGAAGGAACACCUGUGGCGAAAGCGGCUCACUGGACCAUAACUGACGCUGAUGCACGAAAGCUAGGGGAGCAAACAGGAUUAGAGACCCCCGUAGUCCUGUCUCUUAUACA
RNAcentral lists this ribosomal RNA (301 nucleotides) under uncultured bacterium. RNAcentral describes it as "partial 16S ribosomal RNA". It matches the Rfam family "Bacterial small subunit ribosomal RNA", at positions 509 to 809 of the family's 1533-position model. The record is from RNAcentral.